This 155-nucleotide small nuclear RNA is filed under the name Blastocladiella emersonii. RNAcentral's name for it is "partial BeU4". The stretch from base 1 to 135 matches the Rfam family "U4 spliceosomal RNA". Rfam says of the family: U4 small nuclear RNA (U4 snRNA) is a component of the major U2-dependent spliceosome. The structure of U4 snRNA from yeast and human has been reported. U4 snRNA presents a k-turn RNA motif in the 5p-SL related to recognition of Snu13 protein. Lineage: Eukaryota; Fungi; Blastocladiomycota; Blastocladiomycetes; Blastocladiales; Blastocladiaceae. The record is from RNAcentral.
AUCCUUGUGCUAGGACGGACCCCGUGGAGUGAAGUUCCGACUGACCAGGGGAAUUGCUAAUUGCAAACUGAUCCGAAAUCCCUCUCGCGAGCCUCCGUGCUCGCGGGGAAUUUUUGAACCUAUCUCGCACGAAUGCCCAACGCUCGUCGUUGAUG